Non-coding RNA from Sciurus carolinensis (gray squirrel), 76 nucleotides. The record is from the annotation of a RefSeq genome assembly. Lineage: Eukaryota; Metazoa; Chordata; Mammalia; Rodentia; Sciuridae.
GGGGGUAUACCUCAGUGGUAGAGUAUAUGCUUGGUACGCACAAGGACCUGGGUUCAAUCCCCAGCACCUACUCCCA